Molecule: long non-coding RNA, 2190 nt
Organism: Mustela erminea (ermine)
Lineage: Eukaryota; Metazoa; Chordata; Mammalia; Carnivora; Mustelidae
Exons: 2
Source: RefSeq, a predicted model, not a curated record
UCCCCGGCGCUUCCUCCCCGCCCCCUCUAGACGAGCGGAACGGAGCGGGCGAGCGAGCCGGAGUGAGCGUCAAGUGAGAGGCCGAGCGCAAGUCGCAGGCGUUCGCAGCUAUUUUGGUCCAGCCGAGGGAGCCGCCGGGUGGCCGCUGAUAGGCUGGAGCGGCGGGGCUGCGGCGGGAGAGACCGCGGCCCGUGCCCCGCCCCCGGGCGCCGGGCCCCCUCCGGCUCCGGACGCGGUGGGCUCAGGGGGCCGGGAAGCGGGCGGCGCGGCGGGGCUGCUGCAGUUGGCCGGCCUCCCGCCCGGACCGCGUCAUCCUCACCCCCACCGACCGCUGACGGGGCGCCUGGCCGCGCAGCCCGGGCAGCAUACGCGGAGUUCCGAGCUGCACGGUGUGGACGCGGGGGUGGCUGGGGCCGCUUGGAGCCAGAGGACCGAGAGCCUGGGCUCCGCGGCCCGCCCCGUGCUACUGCACGGGUGCCUCUUUGUCCUGCCCCUUUUCUUGCAAAUUUCCUCACCGCUCCUCGGUUUUAACUUUGAAAUGAUAGUUUUCUUAAUGAGGGUUGCAAGGAGAGCAGAAGGUGGAAGGAAAGACCAAGUGCGAGGAACCCGGGCAAUAACGACAUGGGACAGCAGAGCAGCCGGCGUGAAGGAUUGAGAUGAACUCCGCGAAACCACGGGAGAAUCCGUUCACUCACGGAGCCUCAGCCAACACUUCUCACUCUUUUUCCUCGCAGUCCUGAGUCGCCCUUUCCCUCCCCAAGCCGGGUGAAUGGAGAGGGGUGGGUCUUAAAGGCUUCUACCCCAGUGCUUCACUAGCUCCUCUUUGUUGCUGGAUCUCCCUGAGAAGAACUGCUGACAACCUGCUCCCACUUCUGGGGAAGAGAAACUCUGGGGCAUUGGACAGACCGGUGCAGGAGAGCAGGACUAGCCCCGGGUUCUGAUAGCUCCCUUGAUUUGGAGUGGUGCAACCUGGAAACAGAGAAGAGGAAGGCUUCAACUUUGAGACGAAGAGAAGGAAGAAACACUGGGUUGAGAAUGCUAUCACUUGUGAUUUCACACAGAAAGACUGCUGUGACAAAGCCAGAGAGAACUGAAGAAGCCAGGCACUGAUGAGGCAAGGCUUUUGUCCGCAACUUGGUACCUGCCCUUAAGUUGGGAUACCGGAGUUCUACUCUCCUUUCUGCCACUGUUACAGAUCUUAAAACAGCCCCAAACAUUGGUUUCUUCAUCUGAAGGAAAUAGACUAGAAUAUUCCCACCAGCUCUCAUAAUCCCUGGUUCCCACCUCUUCUCAGAUACAUAGAUAUGUGAAGAAGGUUGAUCCAUUGGGAUGAUAGCCAAGACUUGGAAAUGAGCCACACAGUGGAAGAGAGUGCUUCCUUUAGUUUAAUCUAGAGAUCACAGUGCCAGAGCAGAGUAGAUCACACUUUGUUUUCCCAGCUACUAAAAAGGCUGAUGGAUCACAGAAUGUUAAAAGUUAAAGGUAUCUUGGAGAUCAUCUGGACUCGACCUCUCAUUAUUGUCAUUAAUAAAGUUCAGAGAAGCAUAGUGACUUGCCUAAAGCCACAUGAUUGACCACAUCAGAGUCUGUCAUUUCUGAGCUCCAUCCAUCAGUCGCAUACAUGCGACAGUGUAUUAGCGCUGAAGCCUGGGGCUUGAAGAUAUUUCCAAAUGCCUGUCUUCUGUGGCCUUACAUGCAGAUGCUGUCAUUAUACUUUGUUGGACUGGGAUCAAGAUGGGUCUUCGAUAGAACCAGUCUGCCAUUCUGAGUGACUUUGGAAUCCUAAUAAGAAGAAAAAGAAAUGGACCCCCAGGGAACUCACUCUAAGGGGACCCAGGACUACCUCACUCAGCCAGGGUAAUUGGACUCAUGGUAAAGCCCAGAGGUAGACUACUCUGCACCCUGACAUGCAUCAGGCUCGGCACCCUGAGCCAUUAUCCCGAGCAGCCACUAGAUGUCCACAAUGCCUCAUAGGGUUUGCCAGGAGUGAGCAAUCUUCGGCAGGCUACUAUCUUGGCCUCCCAACAGGCUUUUGGGUCCCUUAUGAUAGGUCCAUCAGUAGAAGAGCACAGAUGCUCUGAAUCUCUAGUUCCCAUUUUCAGUACCAUUGGGCUACCAAACCCUACUCAAGCACCUUUUCCAUUUUUGUACUUUUUAUUCUUCCAUUUGAGCAAAGGAAGAAAAUGGUUU